GACUGGAUAGCCAGCUAGUAGUAAAGGCAUCACAUUGACAAUGCUGAGGUCCAAGGUUCAAAUCCUGGUCUAGUCA
This 76-nucleotide transfer RNA is filed under the name Endocronartium harknessii PhW48OC. RNAcentral describes it as "tRNA-Val (GAC) (tRNA-Val-GAC-25-1)". It matches the Rfam family "tRNA". From Rfam's summary of the family: Transfer RNA (tRNA) molecules are approximately 80 nucleotides in length. Their secondary structure includes four short double-helical elements and three loops (D, anti-codon, and T loops). Further hydrogen bonds mediate the characteristic L-shaped molecular structure. tRNAs have two regions of fundamental functional importance: the anti-codon, which is responsible for specific mRNA codon recognition, and the 3' end, to which the tRNAs corresponding amino acid is attached (by aminoacyl-tRNA synthetases). tRNAs cope with the degeneracy of the genetic code in two manners: having more than one tRNA (with a specific anti-codon) for a particular amino acid; and 'wobble' base-pairing, i.e. permitting non-standard base-pairing at the 3rd anti-codon position. The record is from RNAcentral. Lineage: Eukaryota; Fungi; Basidiomycota; Pucciniomycetes; Pucciniales; Coleosporiaceae.